RNAcentral lists this non-coding RNA (24 nucleotides) under Arabidopsis thaliana (thale cress). Lineage: Eukaryota; Viridiplantae; Streptophyta; Magnoliopsida; Brassicales; Brassicaceae. The record is from RNAcentral.
AGGUGUGUUUUGCUCAUUUUAAGG